CAGCCGCCGCGGUAAUACGAAGGGUGCAAGCGUUACUCGGAAUUACUGGGCGUAAAGCGUGCGUAGGUGGUGGUUUAAGUCCGUUGUGAAAGCCCUGGGCUCAACCUGGGAAUUGCAGUGGAUACUGGGUCACUAGAGUGUGGUAGAGGAUAGUGGAAUUUCCGGUGUAGCAGUGAAAUGCGUAGAGAUCGGAAGGAACACCUGUGGCGAAGGCGACUAUCUGGGCCAACACUGACACUGAGGCACGAAAGCGUGGGGAGCAAACAGGAUUAGAUACCCCGGUAGUCCCUGUCUCUUAUAC
RNAcentral lists this ribosomal RNA (301 nucleotides) under uncultured bacterium. RNAcentral describes it as "partial 16S ribosomal RNA". It matches the Rfam family "Bacterial small subunit ribosomal RNA", at positions 509 to 807 of the family's 1533-position model. The record is from RNAcentral.